This 440-nucleotide ribosomal RNA is filed under the name uncultured bacterium. RNAcentral describes it as "partial 16S ribosomal RNA". It matches the Rfam family "Bacterial small subunit ribosomal RNA", at positions 339 to 795 of the family's 1533-position model. The record is from RNAcentral.
CUACGGGACGCUGCAGUAGGGAAUAUUGCACAAUGGGCGAAAGCCUGAUGCAGCAACGCCGCGUGCGCGAUGAAGGCCUUCGGGUUGUAAAGCGCUUUUCUGAGGGAUGAGAAAGGACAGUACCUCAGGAAUAAGGAUCGGCUAACUACGUGCCAGCAGCCGCGGUAAAACGUAGGAUCCGAGCGUUAUCCGAAUUUACUGGGCGUAAAGCGCGUGUAGGUGGUUUGGUAAGUUGGAUGUGAAAGCUCCUGGCUUAACUAGGAGAGGCCGUUCAAAACUGCCAGACUAGAGGGCGGUAGAGGAAGGUGGAAUUCCCGGUGUAGUGGUGAAAUGCGUAGAUAUCGGGAGGAACACCAGUGGCGAAGGCGGCCUUCUGGGCCGUCCCUGACACUGAGACGCGAAAGCUAGGGGAGCAAACGGGAUUAGAUACCCGGGUAGUC